UGCAUUGAUCUUCUUUCCAUAUUCUUCUUUGCAUGACAUCAAUCACGUAUUAUCUUGCAUGUACUAAUUUUCCUUUUAUGUUUAGAUUGCAUGUGCUAAUUUUCUUUUCAUGUUUAGAUCAUUGAGUAAUGGUAGUGAUUGAUAUUAUCUUUCUUUCUGAACAAAUUUAUCUAACGGACUGAUAUAUCUAAUAAUCCCAAUUACAGAUAAAUUACUUACUCUUUCUGCAAGGUGAGUCGAGUAAGAAUAGAUUUUUUAAUGUGCAAUUUCUCUUCAAUCUAGGGUUUUCUGGUUCUCUGAUUGGAUCCCAACUCUAGGUUUUAUUAUUUAAAUGGUUCAAUUCGACGAUGAAUCUUGUGAAUCAUUUGAUUUAAUUUAAAGUUCUUCAUGAAUGUUUGAAGAAAUGCUUGAGAGGUCAAGCGUCUUAUUUUGGAGCAUAAAAUGGCUACAUACGGAAUUUUCUUCAUUUUUCAGUUGAAUUUGAGUAGGAAAAUUUAUUAAUUUGCUCUGGUUUGGAUUAUAUAGGAAAAAAGCAGGCACCAGCGAGACUGUAUAGCAUGUCCCCUGAAGUCAAUCAAAGCCUAACAUAAAAUUGAUUUAGAAUCAUCCCAUGGUUGCUUAGGAGAUGCUAAUAUAUUGUGGCUGUGGUGAUUUUGAAGGAACGGUAUGGACCAAUAGCAAUUUGUUUUGUGGUCCUGGGUACGUGAAUCAUGAAAAUCAACAUGGAUGGAAGGUUGAAUUCUGCGCCAGGGUUCAGGCCAUGUCUUACCUGGAAAUGCUCAUAUUAAGGUUAAUUACCUAUCACCUUUGUUUUUUCUAUGCUUCACAUCGGAUCUAUGCCUCAUAAUCCUCAAUGCAGUAUUCAAAUGCAUUUCUCAGUUUCAUUGGAGAUCGCUUCACAUCCAUAUGUCAACCCAUUUCCACUCUGCUCGGGCGGCCAUAUAACUAUCCCUAUUUACGGCAAGGGUUGCUAUUUGGGUUACAAUUUGGUGAAUACGUUACUGGGCAUUUUUUGGCGUUUUGAUAUAACAUUUCACUUCAGUUUCUAAAUGGCGUUCUUAGCAGUUUGUGGGUUUUCAUAUAAGCAGCAGGAUGCAAUGCAGUCAAAUCAGGAGAAAGAACGGAAACAAAAGCAUCAAUCAAGUGACAAAGAAAAGUAGCGGCCACCAAAUUUGUACUUUCAAAUUAUCCAUUCCCUUCCUAUUUGGUGGCUUUCUCAUCAUCCUCAAGAAACUAAUUACUUGAAAGUCUAUCUUUAUUGGUUUAACCGGGUGUUGCUCCGAAUUUUUUUGGAGUACUAAUGAGUUCUUUGGGGUUCUCGCGGCUUUUAGAGUCUCUCUUCAGUUAUGUACAGUAUGCCCUUAAAUUUUCCUUCAGGUUUCACACCAAUGACAUAUGGAUUAUGCACUGAGAUGUUCAAUCCUCACAAGAAAUCGAUAUACCUGGAGGAGCUAAGAGAUCAAUAUUUAUGUUUAAACUUGGAUGUGAAUGCACUGAGCUAACUUCAGUGCAGAUAGAAAUGAAAAAGAAAUUUAUUUUAUUUAAGGAAGUUAAAAGUACCGAUAGUAUAAAGACUUAUUUGCUGCAAUAGUCCUACUUACUUUGAUUUGGUCCAACCAUUUAUUGGACCAGCUCAAUUCUU
Molecule: RNA transcript, 1642 nt
Organism: Papaver somniferum (opium poppy)
Lineage: Eukaryota; Viridiplantae; Streptophyta; Magnoliopsida; Ranunculales; Papaveraceae
Exons: 9
Source: RefSeq, a predicted model, not a curated record